GUCUGGGUGGUGUAGUUGGUUAUCACGCUAGUCUCACACAUUAGAAGAGGUCCCUAGUUCUCGAACCCGGGCUCAGACA
Molecule: non-coding RNA, 79 nt
Organism: Manihot esculenta (cassava)
Lineage: Eukaryota; Viridiplantae; Streptophyta; Magnoliopsida; Malpighiales; Euphorbiaceae
Source: the annotation of a RefSeq genome assembly